GUGGGGAAUCUUAGACAAUGGGGGAAACCCUGAUCUAGCCAUGCCGCGUGAUCGAUGAAGGCCUUAGGGUUGUAAAGAUCUUUCGCUGGGGAAGAUAAUGACUGUACCCAGUAAAGAAGCCCCGGCUAACUCCGUGCCAGCAGCCGCGGUAAUACGGAGGGGGCUAGCGUUAUUCGGAAUUACUGGGCGUAAAGCGCACGUAGGCGGACUGGAAAGUUGGGGGUGAAAUCCCGGGGCUCAACCUCGGAACUGCCUUCAAAACUCCCAGUCUUGAGUUCGAGAGAGGUGAGUGGAAUUCCGAGUGUAGAGGUGAAAUUCGUAGAUAUUCGGAGGAACACCAGUGGCGAAGGCGGCUCACUGGCUCGAUACUGACGCUGAGGUGCGAAAGCGUGGGGAGCAAACAGGAUUAGAAACCCCGGUAGUCC
Molecule: ribosomal RNA, 425 nt
Filed under: uncultured bacterium
Lineage: Bacteria
Description: partial 16S ribosomal RNA
Rfam family: Bacterial small subunit ribosomal RNA
Source: RNAcentral